This 257-nucleotide ribosomal RNA is filed under the name uncultured bacterium. RNAcentral's name for it is "partial 16S ribosomal RNA". It matches the Rfam family "Bacterial small subunit ribosomal RNA", at positions 334 to 606 of the family's 1533-position model. The record is from RNAcentral.
UCUUCCUACGGGACGCAGCAGUGGGGAAUAUUGGGCAAUGGGCGCAAGCCUGACCCAGCAACGCCGCGUGAAGGAAGAAGGCUCUCGGGUUGUAAACUUCUUUUCUGGGGGACGAACAAAUGACGGUACCCCAGGAAUAAGCCACGGCUAACUACGUGCCAGCAGCCGCGGUAAUACGUAGGUGGCAAGCGUUAUCCGGAUUUAUUGGGUGUAAAGGGCGUGUAGGCGGGAAGGCAAGUCAGAUGUGAAAACUAUGG